GGGUGGUAAUGCCGCAUGCUCCNCNCUGCUGCAUGGUGNNGNGGGAAAGGUUUUUCCGGUAUGGGAUGGGGUCGCGUCCUAUCAGGUAGUCGGCGGGGUGAUGGCCCACCGAGCCUAUGACGGGUAGCCGGCCUGAGAGGGCGACCGGCCACAUUGGGACUGAGAUACGGCCCAGACUCCUACGGGAGGCAGCAGUGGGGAAUAUUGCACAAUGGGCGCAAGCCUGAUGCAGCGACGCCGCGUGCGGGAUGGAGGCCUUCGGGUUGUAAACCGCUUUUAUCGGGGAGCAAGC
This 292-nucleotide ribosomal RNA is filed under the name Bifidobacterium sp. MRM_5/10. Its description in RNAcentral is "partial 16S ribosomal RNA". It matches the Rfam family "Bacterial small subunit ribosomal RNA", at positions 158 to 451 of the family's 1533-position model. The record is from RNAcentral. Lineage: Bacteria; Bacillati; Actinomycetota; Actinomycetes; Bifidobacteriales; Bifidobacteriaceae.